RNAcentral lists this ribosomal RNA (141 nucleotides) under Vibrio vulnificus. Its description in RNAcentral is "partial 16S ribosomal RNA". It matches the Rfam family "Bacterial small subunit ribosomal RNA", at positions 1 to 133 of the family's 1533-position model. The record is from RNAcentral. Lineage: Bacteria; Pseudomonadati; Pseudomonadota; Gammaproteobacteria; Vibrionales; Vibrionaceae.
UUAAUUGAAGAGUUUGAUCAUGGCUCAGAUUGAACGCUGGCGGCAGGCCUAACACAUGCAAGUCGAGCGGCAGCACAGAGAAACUUGUUUCUCAGGUGGCGAGCGGCGGACGGGUGAGUAAUGCCUGGGAAAUUGCCCUGA